Molecule: long non-coding RNA, 199 nt
Filed under: Nicotiana benthamiana
Lineage: Eukaryota; Viridiplantae; Streptophyta; Magnoliopsida; Solanales; Solanaceae
Description: long non-coding RNA (NBEN_LNC028596)
Source: RNAcentral
UUGUCUGGUGUUCCAAAAAACUGCGAGAAUGCUAAAAGUCACAGACAAUGGAUUGUAUAAGGAGACAAUGGAUUGUCAGAAGGCAGUGACCAAAAAAUUUUUCUGAAUAACACAUGAUUUUCAACAUGAAUCUUAAACAUAAAAAAUAUGUUGUUAACCUACUAAAAUCAUGCUAUUUACAAUGUUUUAACAUCAUAUU